GUGAAUCAUCGAAUUUUUGAACGCAAAUUGCACUCUCUGCUGAGAGUAUGCCUGUUUGAGGGUCAGCCUAAAAAAAAUCUACAUAGUUUCUGUUUCUCUGUGACAUUCUUCGGAAAUUGGGUCAUCUUAAACCUUUGGGUUUAAGCGGCUUAAAAUUUUCUUUACGAUUCCACGAACGUUGCUAAGAGUUUACUUCUUACACGGUUAAGUUAUC
This 214-nucleotide unclassified non-coding RNA is filed under the name Glomus sp. RNAcentral's name for it is "partial contains 5.8S ribosomal RNA and internal transcribed spacer 2". The stretch from base 1 to 65 matches the Rfam family "5.8S ribosomal RNA", at positions 84 to 154 of the family's 154-position model. The record is from RNAcentral. Lineage: Eukaryota; Fungi; Glomeromycota; Glomeromycetes; Glomerales; Glomeraceae.